RNAcentral lists this ribosomal RNA (403 nucleotides) under uncultured bacterium. Its description in RNAcentral is "bacterial SSU rRNA". It matches the Rfam family "Bacterial small subunit ribosomal RNA", at positions 355 to 775 of the family's 1533-position model. The record is from RNAcentral.
UGGGGAAUAUUGGACAAUGGGGGAAACCCUGAUCCAGCAAUGCCGCGUGUGUGAUGAAGGCCUUCGGGUUGUAAAGCACUUUUGUCAGGGACGAUGAUGACGGUACCUGACGAAUAAGCUCCGGCUAACUUCGUGCCAGCAGCCGCGGUAAUACGAGGGGAGCUAGCGUUGUUCGGAAUUACUGGGCGUAAAGGGCGUGUAGGCGGUACCAUAAGUCAGAUGUGAAAGCCCUAGGCUUAACCUAGGAAUUGCAUUUGAGACUGUGGAACUAGAGAUCGAGAGAGGUAAGUGGAAUUACGAGUGUAGAGGUGAAAUUCGUAGAUAUUCGUAAGAACACCAGUGGCGAAGGCGACUUACUGGCUCGAUACUGACGCUAAGGCGCGAAAGCGUGGGGAGCAAACAG